Molecule: ribosomal RNA, 732 nt
Filed under: Chryseobacterium sp. C_OB2.38
Lineage: Bacteria; Pseudomonadati; Bacteroidota; Flavobacteriia; Flavobacteriales; Weeksellaceae
Description: bacterial SSU rRNA
Rfam family: Bacterial small subunit ribosomal RNA
Source: RNAcentral
AGAGUUUGAUCCUGGCUCAGGAUGAACGCUAGCGGGAGGCCUAACACAUGCAAGCCGAGCGGUAGAGAUCUUUCGGGAUCUUGAGAGCGGCGUACGGGUGCGGAACACGUGUGCAACCUGCCUUUAUCAGGGGGAUAGCCUUUCGAAAGGAAGAUUAAUACCCCAUAAUAUAUUAAGUGGCAUCAUUUGAUAUUGAAAACUCCGGUGGAUAGAGAUGGGCACGCGCAAGAUUAGAUAGUUGGUAGGGUAACGGCCUACCAAGUCAGUGAUCUUUAGGGGGCCUGAGAGGGUGAUCCCCCACACUGGUACUGAGACACGGACCAGACUCCUACGGGAGGCAGCAGUGAGGAAUAUUGGACAAUGGGUGAGAGCCUGAUCCAGCCAUCCCGCGUGAAGGACGACGGCCCUAUGGGUUGUAAACUUCUUUUGUAUAGGGAUAAACCUCUCCACGUGUGGAAAGCUGAAGGUACUAUACGAAUAAGCACCGGCUAACUCCGUGCCAGCAGCCGCGGUAAUACGGAGGGUGCAAGCGUUAUCCGGAUUUAUUGGGUUUAAAGGGUCCGUAGGCGGAUCUGUAAGUCAGUGGUGAAAUCUCAUAGCUUAACUAUGAAACUGCCAUUGAUACUGCAGGUCUUGAGUAAAGUAGAAGUGGCUGGAAUAAGUAGUGUAGCGGUGAAAUGCAUAGAUAUUACUUAGAACACCAAUUGCGAAGGCAGGUCACUAUGUUUUAAC